UACAGAGGUCUCAACCGUUGUUCGGAUUCAUUGGGCGUAAAGGGCUCGUAGGCGGUCCAUCGCGUCGGGAGUGAAAAGCUGGGGCUUAACCCCAGUCCUGCUUCCGAUACGGGUGGACUAGAGGUAGGCAGGGGAGAACGGAAUUCCUGGUGUAGCGGUGAAAUGCGCAGAUAUCUGGAGGAACACCGGUGGCGAAGGCGACAUCCUGGACCGGUAUUGACGCUGAGGCGCGAAAGCCAGGGGAGCAAACGGG
This 253-nucleotide ribosomal RNA is filed under the name uncultured bacterium. Its description in RNAcentral is "partial 16S ribosomal RNA". It matches the Rfam family "Bacterial small subunit ribosomal RNA", at positions 524 to 776 of the family's 1533-position model. The record is from RNAcentral.